This 250-nucleotide unclassified non-coding RNA is filed under the name Hevea brasiliensis (rubber tree). The record is from RNAcentral. Lineage: Eukaryota; Viridiplantae; Streptophyta; Magnoliopsida; Malpighiales; Euphorbiaceae.
AAAAAAACCCCCUGUUUUUGAUCAUCGAUUUCUGGAGGAAAGCAUAUUCGUAUCUACACUAUAGAGAGAUUCACAGAAAUAAUGAAAUCAUUCCAUAAAGAACCAAAAAUUUGGAUCAGUUGAUGGUUGGAGGAGGUGGGGAUCUCUCCGUUUGCAGAAAAAAAUAUAAUACCCACCUCCGAUUACAAAUUCAGAAGAAAAGAAGCAAAGUGAAAGAAUCAGAAGGGUGAGCACUGAGCUUACCAGGGAG